Non-coding RNA from Pelobates cultripes (western spadefoot toad), 369 nucleotides. NCBI's taxonomy places the organism in Eukaryota, Metazoa, Chordata, Amphibia, Anura, Pelobatidae. The record is from the annotation of a GenBank genome assembly.
UAAUUAAAGGUGUGAACAAGGGACAGUGUUUCAACCAAACAAGUACUCUCUGCUGUAAUUAGUGCCUCAGGUACCCUGAGGAAGAAUGAUAAGAUCUUGUAGAAUGUGACUUCACUGCCUCGGUAUCCUGGAAUGUGGAAAGAAGGCAUGCAGAAGCCAGAAAUCCCUUUAGGCCAGGGCCUCGGGAACUAGAUGAAAGAACUCUCCAUUCAAUUGAAAGAUGGGAAAAUAAUGUUUGCAGUUCAAAUCUACCAGCUCUGAAACAACACCAACCAGGAGAUGUGGCCAACCCCCCAUACUAAAACACAGGUAUUAGCGUUUCUGGGUACCGCAGGCUAUUACCGGAAGUUUGUGCCCAAUUAUAGCACC